Molecule: ribosomal RNA, 243 nt
Filed under: uncultured bacterium
Lineage: Bacteria
Description: partial 16S ribosomal RNA
Rfam family: Bacterial small subunit ribosomal RNA
Source: RNAcentral
GCAAGUCGAGCGGUAAGGUCUUUCGGGGUACACGAGCGGCGAACGGGUGAGUAACGCGUGGGUGAUCUGACCUGCACUCUGGGUAAGCUUGUGAAACUGGGACUAAUACCGGAUAUGACCGCAUGCCGCAUGGUGUGUGGUGGAAAGAUUUAUCGGUGCAGGAUGAGCCCGCGGCCUAUCAGCUUGUUGGUGGGGUAAUGGCCUACCAAGGCGACGACGGGUAGCCGACCUGAGAGGGUGACC